This 2573-nucleotide ribosomal RNA is filed under the name Triticum aestivum (bread wheat). RNAcentral's name for it is "partial small subunit ribosomal RNA". Lineage: Eukaryota; Viridiplantae; Streptophyta; Magnoliopsida; Poales; Poaceae. The record is from RNAcentral.
AUGCCAGGUAAGCAGUACGGGGCCCCGCAGCCCAGCGGGGAGAGGCACCCAGCGGUGGCCCCAGCUGACAGCGAGUGGACGAGGUCAAGGCAGAUCCCGCCGGCCGCCCCCAACUGCCUCCACGCCGAAGUCGUCGCCCGCCCCUCCCCCCUGAAACAAAAUCUCUUCCAGAAUCGGAGGGGAAAGCAUCUGCGAGUUUCGCCCUCGCGCGGGCGGCCGGCGGCGGCGGAGAUGGGCUGCUGUAGCAGCCGGAGCUCGGACUCGCCGGCCAGCCGCGUCACGCGCUGGCGCUCCACCGGGAUCGUCGCCCUCCGGGACGCCAAACUGAAGGUGGUACCACAGGAAGUUCUGCAAGUGGGAAAUUCCCUUAGAACUCUGGAUUUGACAAAUAACAAGAUAGUUGAGGUUCCCCAGGAAGUUGGUACCAUUGUGAAUAUGCAAAGACUGGUUUUGGCUGGUAAUUUGAUUGAAAACAUUCCAGCUAAUAUUGGAUACCUGCGGAACCUUAAAAUCCUCACGCUUGACAGAAAUAGGAUCACUGUCUUGCCUGAAGAAUUGGGUUCUCUAUCAAAUCUUCAGCAGCUUACAGUUUCUCAGAAUUCUUUGCUGUGCCUACCUAAAAGUGUUGGAGAUUUGUGCAAUAUGCUGCUACUCAAUGUAUCUGAUAACAAACUAAAUGCCCUUCCCGAAUCAAUAGGAGGCUGCAAGUCCCUCGAAGAAUUGCAGGCUAAUGGAAAUACAAUCGAAGAUGUGCCCUCAUCAAUUUGCAACCUUGCUUGCCUCAAAUCUAUAUCAUUGAAUGGAAACAAAAUUCGUCAGCUUCCCCCAAACUUGCUGAAGGAUUGCAAGGCUCUUCAGAACUUGUCACUGCACAGCAACCCAAUCUCGAUGGACCAGUUUCAGCAAAUGGAUGGAUUCGGGGAAUUUGAAGCGCGCAGAAGGAAGAAGUUUGACAAGCAGAUUGAUUCAAAUGUGAUGAUGGGCUCCACAGCCCUGGACGAAGGCAUUGAUUUACGCUAGUUUUGCGGCAAAAUUCAAGUGAACUUGUUUUUUCUUCAUUAGUUGGAAGUAACUGUAAACUUUGUAUAUAUCAGUCUCCCCACAAUCUGAUUCGGUAAAGAAAUCAAUAAAUACAAAACAUACAAAAAUGAGUAGACUGUCUCUUUCAUGUGAAUCUACAGUCGUUGACUAUCAGCAUAUUAUGUACUCUCAUGUCUAAGCCUACACCAUCUUAUUAUGCUACUUUCGGUGGCAGCAAAGAUUUGUCUGCUUGAAAAUGAGCAGAGAGGGCUUUGCAAAGCUCCCCUCUCAAGUCUCAAGUAGCAGUUACAAGUGAGAAGCCAAGAAUUAAACUAUCGUCCAGCAGUCGUGUUAAUUUGGAGCUCACAAUACAUAGGCAGCCCACCACCGGAGCUCGACACGUAAGGGCAAAAGACUGGUGCCGUCUUUCUAAACACGUGAAUAAAGCAGGAGGAAUCUGUUGUUACAUCGUUGCUUUUUCCCUAGCUAUAUGAUCGAUUCACAUCUGAUAAGAGAGGGCAGAGGCAAGGAGGAGGAGGAAGAAGAAGAAGAAGAAGCAGAGGGUUUUGCUACGACUACGAUGGAAGAGGAGAAGGCCUUUCCCAGUGACUCGUCAGGUUUCGAGUUCUUCAUCAUCAUGCUCUCAAAUUCCUUGAAGAAACUGAGGAUGCCAGACAAGUUCGCCAAGGUGCUCGCCGGCCGCGAGCCCCGGGAAGUGAAGCUGCGGGAGGCCGGCAGCGGGCGCCGCAGCCUGUGGGACGUGAAGGUGGUGCUGGACGCCGACGGCCACACAUACCUAGGGCGCGGCUGGGAGCGGUUCGCCCGCGCGCACGACCUGCGGCUCGGCUACUUCCUCGUCUUCAGCUACGACGGCGACGCCGUGCUCACCGUGAAGGUGUUCGACGUGAGCAUGUGCCGCAGGCACUACAAGCACCACGACGACGAUGAUGCCAGCAGUGGGAGCAGCAGCGACAGUGGCGGCAGCAGCUCGGCGGAGGUGGAGGUCGACGACGCUCCGACGUCGCAGUUCACGGUCAGGCUGAGCGGCUGCCACUUCCUCGAGAAGCAGCAGCAGUAUCUGAACGUGCCGCUGGAGUUCCAUGAGGCGCACGGGUACGCGGAGAGGAGCAAGGUGGUGCUGCGGAUGAGCGGCAAGUCGUGGGGCGUGACCCUGAAGCACACCAACCGGGCGGGCGGCAAGACCCGGUCGUCCUUCAGGUACGGGUGGCACCAGUUCCUGGUGGACAACCGCCUCACCGUCGGCGACACCUGCUUCUUCCGCGCGCUCCGCGCUGGCGGCGAGGACCACGAGCUCAAGGUGCAGGUCCGCAAGCUGGACGGCACCUUCGUGGAAUGAUCAGCCGGCCGUGUUGGCGUGCUCAUCACCGGCAUGCAUGGCACAAUGAUCAGGACAAUGGAGUUCUUUUACUUUUUCUAGUAGUUGUUUGAAGCUUUCGGAUCGUCUUGGUAUGUUCUGAAACCUGGAUCAGUGCCUUCUGAUGCUAGUAGCAGCAGAGUAACUAGUUAGAGAAUAAACCGCCUGACUCUGUGCC